AGUUCGGAUCGCAGGCUGCAACCCGCCUGCGUGAAGUUGGAAUUGCUAGUAAUCGCGGAUCAGCAUGCCGCGGUGAAUACGUUCCCGGGCCUUGUACACACCGCCCGUCACACCAUGGAAGUCGGUAAUGCCCGAAGUCAGUAGCCUAACCGCAAGGGGGGCGCUGCCGAAGGCAGGAUUGAUGACUGGGGUGAAGUCGUAACAAGGUACC
RNAcentral lists this ribosomal RNA (211 nucleotides) under uncultured bacterium. RNAcentral describes it as "partial 16S ribosomal RNA". It matches the Rfam family "Bacterial small subunit ribosomal RNA", at positions 1290 to 1500 of the family's 1533-position model. The record is from RNAcentral.